Molecule: long non-coding RNA, 130 nt
Organism: Amblyraja radiata (thorny skate)
Lineage: Eukaryota; Metazoa; Chordata; Chondrichthyes; Rajiformes; Rajidae
Exons: 3
Source: RefSeq, a predicted model, not a curated record
GUUCACUCACAGCAUUCUCUGCAAGGUGUUACAGUAAACUAGCAGCUACUCAGACUAAUUACUUAAGCAGACUUCUGAUAAUAUAAACCGCAUAAUAGGCAGAGCUUCUACUAACAAGCAAUACGAUUAG